Molecule: ribosomal RNA, 403 nt
Filed under: uncultured bacterium
Lineage: Bacteria
Description: partial 16S ribosomal RNA
Rfam family: Bacterial small subunit ribosomal RNA
Source: RNAcentral
GACGAACGCUGGCGGCGUGCCUAAUACAUGCAAGUCGAACGCAGUGGGGACGGGAGAGGAACACGUGGGUAACCUGGCAUCAGAGGGGAUAACACUUGGAAACAGGUGCUAAACCGAUAAUGAUGGAUGGAACGGCGUUGGAUUAGCUAUGUGGUGGGGAAACGUCGCACCAAGGCCACGCUCCAUAGCCGACCUGAUAGGGUGAUCGGCCCCCCUGGGGCUGAGACACAGCCCAUCCUCCUACGGGAGGCAGCCGUAGGGAAUCUUCAGCAAUGGACGCAAGUCUGACCGAGCCAUGCCGCGUGUGUGAAGAAGGUUUUCGGAUUGUAAAGCUCUUUUUUUGAGGAAGCGGUAUCUACCCAAAAAGCCACGGCUAACUCCGUGCCAGCAGCCGCGGUAAUUC